ACUGCUCAGUAACACGUGGAUAACCUGCCCAAGGGUCCGGGAUAACCCCGGGAAACUGGGGAUAAUACCGGAUGGAUCACUAGUGCUGGAAUGCUUGGUGGUUUAAAGGUAACGCCUUUGGAUGGGUCUGCGGCGGAUUAGGUUGACGCCGGUGUAACGUACCGGCGUGCCUGUAAUCCGUACGGGUUGUGGGAGCAAGAGCCCGGAGAUGGAUUCUGAGACACGAAUCCAGGCCCUACGGGGCGCAGCAGGCGCGAAAACUCUACAAUGCAGGCAACUGCGAUAGGGGGACAUCGAGUGGCAUCCACCUUGGGUGCCUGUCCAACCGUCUAAAAAACGGUUGUUAGCAAGGGCCGGGUAAGACCGGUGCCAGCCGCCGCGGUAAUACCGGCGGCUCGAGUGGUGGCCGAUAUUAUUGAGUCUAAAGGGUCCGUAGCCGGCUUUGCAAGUCCCCUGGGAAAUCCAGCGGCUUAACCGUUGGGCUUUCAUGGGAUACUACAUUGCUUGGGACUGGGAGAGGUAGGAGGUACUCGGGGGGUAGGGGUGAAAUCCUGUAAUCCUCCGGGGACCACCGGUGGCGAAGGCGUCCUACCAGAACAGGUCCGACGGUGAGGGACGAAAGCUAGGGGCACGAACCGGAUUAGAUACCCGGGUAGUCCUAGCCGUAAACGAUGCCCGCUAGGUGUCACGACGGUCGUGAAUCGUCGUGGUGCCGUAGGGAAGCCGCGAAGCGGGCCACUUGGGAAGUACGGCCGCAAGGCUGAACUUAAAGGAAUUGGCGGGGGAGCAC
This 790-nucleotide ribosomal RNA is filed under the name uncultured archaeon. RNAcentral describes it as "bacterial SSU rRNA". It matches the Rfam family "Archaeal small subunit ribosomal RNA", at positions 85 to 879 of the family's 1478-position model. The record is from RNAcentral.